This 74-nucleotide transfer RNA is filed under the name Fodinibius sp. Its description in RNAcentral is "tRNA-Pro". It matches the Rfam family "tRNA". Rfam says of the family: Transfer RNA (tRNA) molecules are approximately 80 nucleotides in length. Their secondary structure includes four short double-helical elements and three loops (D, anti-codon, and T loops). Further hydrogen bonds mediate the characteristic L-shaped molecular structure. tRNAs have two regions of fundamental functional importance: the anti-codon, which is responsible for specific mRNA codon recognition, and the 3' end, to which the tRNAs corresponding amino acid is attached (by aminoacyl-tRNA synthetases). tRNAs cope with the degeneracy of the genetic code in two manners: having more than one tRNA (with a specific anti-codon) for a particular amino acid; and 'wobble' base-pairing, i.e. permitting non-standard base-pairing at the 3rd anti-codon position. The record is from RNAcentral. RNAcentral also lists the same sequence under 1 other name. Lineage: Bacteria; Pseudomonadati; Balneolota; Balneolia; Balneolales; Balneolaceae.
CGGGACGUGGCUCAGUCAGGUAGAGCACACGACUGGGGGUCGUGGGGUCGCUGGUUCAAAUCCAGUCGUCCCGA